UUGGUGGAGCUGGAUGACGCCUGUAUUGCCAAUCUGAAAUUCAUCAUGUUGUGUUUCGAAGCCGUUUCUGGUCUUAAGAUUAAUUUCGCCAAGAGUGAGGUUAUGGUGACGGGUGUUGAUGGGGCGGAAGCCUUGCAGGUUGCCAGGCUCCUUAACUGCUCAUUAGGCUCCUUCCCCUUCAAGUAUUUAGGCCUUCCUAUCUCUCCUGGAAUGCUUCAUGCGAAUGAUUUCGCUCCGGCGGUUGCUAAAGUGGGGAACAGGGUGCUCCCUUGGAGGGGUAGAUAUAAUACCAAUGCCGGCAAAGUGGCUCUAAUCAACUCCUGCUUAUCCUCUCUCCCUAUGUUUCUUAUGGGCUUUUAUCUUCUCAUGAAUGGCGUGCAUGCUGGCUUCGACAAAAAUAGGGGUGCCUUCUACUGGAAUUCCGCUGAUAACAAAAGAAAGUAUAGGCUGGUCAAGUGGCAACUUAUGUGUAAACCUAAGAACCUUGGGGGGUUAGGCAUUAUUAAUACUCGGGUGAUGAACAUUUGUUUGCUUAUCAAGUGGUGGUGGAAAAUU
Molecule: ribosomal RNA, 555 nt
Filed under: Triticum aestivum (bread wheat)
Lineage: Eukaryota; Viridiplantae; Streptophyta; Magnoliopsida; Poales; Poaceae
Description: partial small subunit ribosomal RNA
Source: RNAcentral